CUGCAACCAGUUAAACUAAUCAGGUUCNUUUUCUCAGGAGGACCCGGUGUGCAAUGGCUGCCAGCAGCAGGCCCCUUGGGAAUGCACGCAGCCUGCUGCUUGCAUGGGUUCCCUAAGGCACCCUGAAGACCAUU
RNAcentral lists this small nucleolar RNA (134 nucleotides) under Neotoma lepida (desert woodrat). Its description in RNAcentral is "Small nucleolar RNA SNORA70". It matches the Rfam family "Small nucleolar RNA SNORA70". From Rfam's summary of the family: snoRNA U70 seems to be exclusive to mammals and is a member of the H/ACA class of snoRNA which contain H (ANANNA) and ACA box motifs. H/ACA box snoRNAs are involved in the conversion of uridines to pseudouridines (5-ribosyluracil) a constituent of structural RNAs (transfer, ribosomal, small nuclear, and small nucleolar). Lineage: Eukaryota; Metazoa; Chordata; Mammalia; Rodentia; Cricetidae. The record is from Rfam by way of RNAcentral.